This 714-nucleotide long non-coding RNA is filed under the name Homo sapiens (human). Its description in RNAcentral is "HSALNT0392977". The record is from RNAcentral. Lineage: Eukaryota; Metazoa; Chordata; Mammalia; Primates; Hominidae.
GUACCACACCAAGCAAAGCUCUCUGGGUGACACAGUUGCCACCACCAGGGCACUGACCCUUACUCUGUGUUCUCCUAGCUCCUCCUGAGGGUGCUGUAGGAGACAUCUGCAAAAAAGAAGAUGCUGGCAAUAUGCCAUCAACCUCAGAGGGGAGUAUUUACCUUGAAAUGGCUCACUUCCUGAGGAACAAACUUGCUGGAUCUAGUGUACGGAAACCUGAUUCUGGGUUCCUUUGGGAAGGAGCAUUACGGGCCUGCUCCUGGACCACCUCAUAUCACCAGCACCCUCUACCCAAGGUCCUGGAGCCAACACUGGAGUAAAAGAGCACAAGAGAACUCCUUAGAGGUGGAAGGAUACCCUCUGAGGUCAAAUCAUUGGGCUUGUGGCCAUGAGACCACAGACUUUGCCUGGCUUCCAGUGACUGUCCGAGAUGACCUGUGGAGUGCACCGCCUGUACUUGGACAUCACUGUCUUUUCGGAUCCAUACCCGUCAUCCUUGGAAUUUCCCCUGCAUCCAAACCUGUUCCUGAUACAGGUAUAACCCUAAGGAAUAUCUUGGAUGUCUUCACGGGGCUUAUGACUUAUUCUGAGGUUUACAAAAUAGAGGCCCCCAGCUGAGCAAAGAGAGGGCUGCAGCGCCGAGGGAACAGCUGCCGGACUCACCGGAGAGGCCUCCUGGAGCACGCCGGGACCCCCUCCACCCCCUGGCUUUGG